CAGCAUUAAUGAAAGGAUAUGUGCCCAGC
This 29-nucleotide non-coding RNA is filed under the name Mus musculus (house mouse). Lineage: Eukaryota; Metazoa; Chordata; Mammalia; Rodentia; Muridae. The record is from RNAcentral.